RNAcentral lists this ribosomal RNA (208 nucleotides) under Salmonella enterica subsp. enterica serovar Kentucky. RNAcentral's name for it is "partial 23S ribosomal RNA". It matches the Rfam family "Bacterial large subunit ribosomal RNA", at positions 667 to 874 of the family's 2925-position model. The record is from RNAcentral. Lineage: Bacteria; Pseudomonadati; Pseudomonadota; Gammaproteobacteria; Enterobacterales; Enterobacteriaceae.
CGUAGGGAAACCGAGUCUUAAUUGGGCGUUAAGUUGCAGGGUAUAGACCCGAAACCCGGUGAUCUAGCCAUGGGCAGGUUGAAGGUUGGGUAACACUAACUGGAGGACCGAACCGACUAAUGUUGAAAAAUUAGCGGAUGACCUGUGGCUGGGGGUGAAAGGCCAAUCAAACCGGGAGAUAGCUGGUUCUCCCCGAAAGCUAUUUAGG